UACGUAGGUGGCAAGCGUUGUCCGGAUUUACUGGGCGUAAAGAGCGCGCAGGCGGUCGUUCAAGUCGCGUGUGAAAGCCCCCGGCUCAACUGGGGAGGGUCACGCGAUACUGAUCGACUCGAAGGCAGGAGAGGGAAGUGGAAUUCCCGGUGUAGUGGUGAAAUGCGUAGAUAUCGGGAGGAACACCAGUGGCGAAGGCGACUUCCUGGCCUGUUCUUGACGCUGAGGCGCGAAAGCUAGGGGAGCAAAUGGG
RNAcentral lists this ribosomal RNA (253 nucleotides) under uncultured bacterium. Its description in RNAcentral is "partial 16S ribosomal RNA". It matches the Rfam family "Bacterial small subunit ribosomal RNA", at positions 524 to 776 of the family's 1533-position model. The record is from RNAcentral.